This is a long non-coding RNA of Cornus florida, 1864 nucleotides long. RefSeq lists it as uncharacterized. The transcript is spliced from 8 exons. The record is from RefSeq and is a predicted model, not a curated record. Lineage: Eukaryota; Viridiplantae; Streptophyta; Magnoliopsida; Cornales; Cornaceae.
GAAAAAAAUAAAAAAUAAAAAAACAAAAAAUAAAGGGAAAAGAGCCGUUACUUGUGGGCCAAAGAAAAAAAAAAUAAAUAAAAACAAAACAAAAAAGAAAAAGAAAAAGGGAUAACAGCCCGUUGUUGCAGGGCAUGUGGGGCUUGUUUGGCUCGCAAGGGACUUGUUAUCAGUUGCGAUGUCCUUUGUUAGCUUUCCUCUGUGUCCACAGAUUGCUGGCUUUAUACCAAUUCACAUUCUAGCAACAGUGACUCCAAAGCUAGCAAACAAUUUCAUCUCUCUCUCUCUCUCUCAAUAUGAGUUAGGGUUCAUCCCUCUCACCCAAUUAUCGCAUGCAAACAUAUUAAUGACGAGGAACGCAUAACUCUGUCCACACGAAUUUCAUUUCUCAGCGAUCGAUUAAAGUGAUUGAUUCAGAAGGUCUCUGUGUUCGAUUAAUCGAUCAGGUUUCCUCUCUGGCUGCUCAAUAGCACUUGCACUGGCUAUUGCUGUAGUUGUACAUGCAAGAGAUGUUCUUAAGAGUGAGCAGUGUGUAAAAUAUAUUUCCACUUUAUGCUUGUUUGUAUUCAUUGUUUUACACAUGUUCAUGGAUGCUGGGAACAUAUACUUUGGGAGGCGUUACCAGAUUAAUUAUCCCAUAACCUUUAUAUUUGGUUUCAAGCAAGGGACAGGAUUGGGUAACAGUGAAGGCCUCCUCCUCAGUUUUGGCCUCGCAGUACUCACAAUGGCUGGUGUAGUCUCAAACUUGAACAUGGAAAUGGACCCCAGAACAAAAAGCUUCAGAGCUUUAACUGAAUUGCUACCUUUGGGCCUAGUCACUUUCAAGUCACUUCUUCCUUAUCAUUGGCGCAUUUCAGUGUCUUUGUACUCCUCUUUAUAAGGUUGUCGUCCCUGAUUUCUUCUUGGCAGAUCAGCUUAGUGGCCAGGUUCAGGCUUUCAGGAGUUCGGAAUUUUAUAUCUGUUACUAUGGUUGGAGGGACUUCGAGAAGAGAGAAAACACAUGCAAGGACAAUGAUGUUUAAAACUUUAUGUCAGUGUCGCAGUUGUACCAUAUUGGAUGCAUUUUCUUCAGUUGUUUUGAGGACAGGGUAUGAUCUGAAGUGGGGUAUGCCUUUACUCCAUAGAAAAGCCAUUGCAAUUAUUGCGAGUUUGGAGAAAAUUCAUCUGUGGAAUUUUGAAAUUUCUUCAGGUUGUGAAAAGGAGAGUCUGCUUUUCAAAUUUGAGACUUUUUUGUUCAAAAAUUGUGCAAAUGGGGAGAUGUUUGUAGUAUUGGAGGGCCCGAAGAGCCAACUUGAAUGGUUGAAUGAUCAACAAUCACACCCCCAUACCAAGUCAUGCGAUUUUGAUAUUUGGGAGAAAAUGUGUUACUUGUGGUUUUUGGGCAUAUAAUAUUCUUGCUAUGUAUUAGGUUUUUGGGACAUGGAUUAAUGAUGUUAAUAUAUGGUAUUGUUGCUAGGUUUUUGGGCAUAUACUCCUUGUUAUGUAGCGUCAAUAACUUAUUUUUGGGAAUAAUUUUAGCUGGCUGUUGCUCUAUGAUGACCUGCUUGAACUUAAUUUUUAUUACUAAUAAACAAUUUAUAGGAUAUUUAUUCCUGGAAAAGGAUCCUCUCCAUGGCUUGAGAGGGCCGGAGAGAAUGUGGUUUGAGAUUGAAUUGGUAGAUGAGAUCGUCAAAGUUUUGCGGUGAAGAUUGAAUCAUUAGAUGGGACCCACUAAUAAUGGUCUACUCUCGUGAAGUGUUGAUGUAUAAUCUCCACCUUUGAUGGAGUGCAAGACGUCCGCAGUGCUCGAGAGGACCCAAGUACCCAAGUCCAUUUAUUCACACAAAAGCAAUUACACUACAAAAAGAAUGAUGUUACCUAGUAU